This 465-nucleotide ribosomal RNA is filed under the name uncultured bacterium. RNAcentral describes it as "partial 16S ribosomal RNA". It matches the Rfam family "Bacterial small subunit ribosomal RNA", at positions 338 to 795 of the family's 1533-position model. The record is from RNAcentral.
CCUACGGGGGGCAGCAGUAGGGAAUCUUCCACAAUGGGCGAAAGCCUGAUGGAGCAACGCCGCGUGGGUGAAGAAGGUCUUCGGAUCGUAAAACCCUGUUGUUAGAGAAGAAAGUGCGUGAGAGUAACUGUUCACGUUUCGACGGUAUCUAACCGGAAAGCCACGGCUAACUACGUGCCAGCAGCCGCGGUAAUACGUAGGUGGCAAGCGUUAUCCGGAUUUAUUGGGCGUAAAGGGAACGCAGGCGGUCUUUUAAGUCUGAUGUGAAAGCCUUCGGCUUAACCGGAGUAGUGCAUUGGAAACUGGGAGACGUGAGUGCAGAAGAGGAGAGUGGAAUGCGAUGUGUAGCGGUGAAAUGCGUAGAUAUAUGGAAGAACACCAGUGGCGAAAGCGGCUCUCUGGUCUGUAACUGACGCUGAGGUUCGAAAGCGUGGGUAGCAAACAGGAUUAGAUACCCGGGUAGUC